AAAUAAUGGAAGACGGAGAGCUAUGUACUGCCAAUUAGUCAUAGACGGAUGCAACACAUUAAUUUGCCAAAAGCUGCAAUUUUUGGGCAAGUCAGAUGAGAUCCCUGGCCUAGUUUGGGCUACGAAACGAAAUGAACUUCGAAAUAAACGGCGAGCAAACAAGCCUCGUUCCAACAUCAAGGUCCUUCCGACGCAAACCAAUCGUCUAGCCUUAGAUUUACUUGAAUGAACGGUACAAUAUAAGAAACCAAGACUUCUGAUAAUAAUGAUAAAAUAAAAAUACAAACAAUGACGAUUUUCUUUUAUUGAAUUUGGUAUAAGUAUAACAAAGUUGUACAGACAAUGAAUUCCCAAGAAAACAAAGCAGUUGUUCCCAUUAAUGGGAUAUGCACUCUUUUGCUGGUGCGAGUUAAAUAUCAAUGAACAAGAUAAGUAAUAAGCAGGGCUACAAGAAUCAGGGCAUAAGCUAUCCCUUGAUCAACCGCUUUGCUGUCGCUUGUUGGAGAGGGUGCCAUGGCUUGGCCACGGGCAAGCUCCAUAAGCCCUGACAAGAAGAACGCGACGAAGAGCAGAGCAUACACUUUCACGGCAGCCAUCUUCCGAACAAGUAGAAAAUACGAUUGGAUGAACUGAAGGAGAGGUUGGCAAGGUAAAAGAGAUGUGAGAAGGCCUUGCUAAGAGAGAAGAUCGAGAGCAAGAAGAGCAGUUUGGUGAGAGAGCUGGCCUUCAUGUGCCUAUAUAUAGAGUUGCUUUGACCCUUUGGCUGAUAGAAUUUGAAGUCGUCCAGUUCUUUCUCUUGUUUCAGAAAAGAGAGAGGCAUUUGGAUUUUAAUUGUUGGCGCUUACCGGACAAGCAAAGAACCACCGACAUAUACGAAAAAGUCCGUGUUCUGGUGAGAGAGCAAGAAACGUGGUCAAUGGAGGCUAAACAUAGAUAUUAGAAACGAGAGGAAAAAUGUUGUCUGAUCAAUGGAUGAUCUGGUCUACCAACGCGUUUCCAUUGGCUUUAACAAAGUUAUACCACACCAACUAAUCACGCGAUCUGUCCAUUCGGGCUUGGCAUGUUUCAACAAUAAUUAAUGUUUGGCCUAUUUUCAUGUGGACUCGUUUGGUGCUGCCGCCUCCUGCCGGCACUAGUUAAUAUUUUUAAAUGAGACGACGACUUUGGCGCAUGAAUGAUUGCGGAGUAUGCAAGUGAUGGCCCCAUCGGCGCCACGAAGAAUCUUUGAAGUAGCCAAGAAAAGGCACGGUAAGCGGCAGGGUGAUGGAAUCAGUCCCCAGACCAAGUCCAGAUAUAAUUCACUGACAGACUCGGUGAUAUUACUAUAACCAUUUCUCCGAGAUUUUACUGGGGUUAUAGCACAGUAGACUGAGAAUUGGUAAUAUUCUCUGCGGAUCUAUAAGAUAUGGUUAAAGAAUGACGGCAAAUUAUAGGCCGUUGUAUCUGCAAAGCUUUCUAACCAUGAGCCAUACAGGUCAGUUCAAACCAUAUUUUACGUUGUCCAUUGGCUGGGUGAAUAUUUUGUAAGAUAAACAGUUGUUCAUAAAAAAUAGAAUCACAGCUUUGAUGCCAGAGCACUUUUGCUUCCAAGCCAGGCUGAAUUGGUUUCCGGGCGUGCUUUUUUAAAUUUCGUCCAUAUUAUCAUACUACAGAGCUCACUGGCUGCUUCACUACGUUAUUAUUCGUCAAAGCAACAAGUUCUGUAGAAUUAAUUAGAUAAUAAAUAUUGAUAAUCAAUCAACAAGGAAAUGAUUUGCAUGAAGGUGCCACCUAGCUUACUUGGGCAGGCUGUAAUGUAGACAUUGGAUCAGAUUCUGGUUGGGAGGAUUUGGGGGGCACCCAUGGAAGGAAUAGCUCAAAAUUACCUACAAGCCGCAUGUCCCCUGGAAGAGAGAGAGAGGGAGGGGGGGGGGGGGCCCAUUAUCAAGUGUAAGAUGCUUGGCUAUGCUAAAUUUCCAAUUUAAGUUUUAGCACUUACAGGCUUGUAGUAGCUCACUUAAUUAAUUGACUCAGAAUUAAUAUUUAUAUCAAUAUUAGACAUUCAUAAAUAUUAAAAACAACUUAAAUCUAACGUAUGACACGUGUCAAAAAGAUACUUGGCAUCUAGCUGCUCAACUUAAGUGUUAUGCGACUCGAUUAAGGAACUCAUAAUCCAUGCAUUUUCAUGAACAAUUAACAAAACGUUUCAUAUUCUUAGAAUACUGCAAGCUUAUCUCUAGCUCUAAAAUGGUUUAAACCAGAUUCCUGGUGCAAUUAUGUUUUUUUUUUUUNNNNNNNNNNNNNNNNNNNNNNNNNNNNNNNNNNNNNNNNNNNNNNNNNNNNNNNNNNNNNNNNNNNNNNNNNNNNNNNNNNNNNNNNNNNNNNNNNNNNNNNNNNNNNNNNNNNNNNNNNNNNNNNNNNNNNNNNNNNNNNNNNNNNNNNNNNNNNNNNNNNNNNNNNNNNNNNNNNNNNNNNNNNNNNNNNNNNNNNNNNNNNNNNNNNNNNNNNNNNNNNNNNNNNNNNNNNNNNNNNNNNNNNNNNNNNNNNNNNNNNNNNNNNNNNNNNNNNNNNNNNNNNNNNNNNNNNNNNNNNNNNNNNNNNNNNNNNNNNNNNNNNNNNNNNNNNNNNNNNNNNNNNNNNNNNNNNNNNNNNNNNNNNNNNNNNNNNNNNNNNNNNNNNNNNNNNNNNUAUCAUAAAUCAAUUCUAGACCUAUGCUGUCCUCUAAUUUAUAUAUGCUAUAUGAGCUUUGUUAAAAUUCAAGAUUUCAUCCAAAAAAAUUAGUAAGAAGAUAUUAUUUAAAUUUAUUAAUUUUAUAUAAAUAUCAAAAAUUUAUAUAGUGCAUUGUUAACGUAAGAUUAAAUAUAUACCACAUAAGUCCUCACAAAAAAGUAAUGAAUAAAAAGAUGAUUAAUUGUUUCACUCUGUACAGUGGACCGAUGGAACUGAUAGGCCAAUCUUUUUUUUUUUUUUCUGUUAAAAAUUUUGUGCUGCGGCCAAUCCCCUGUCGUCGGUGAAGAGCACCUACAAGAAAAAGUCUUUACAGACCAGAGUUGUAUCCGGCGGAGACCCUCCGAUACUUAUGCCAGAGAGGGGGUUGGUGAACAGCUAAUAAUAAUAUUGAGAGUAGCAGAGUCUUAGCUCAAAAUUGUCUUACCCGUGCUGUUCGUUUAUCUCUUUUUUAUAGAUGAUUUUGAUGUAACCGUCGAGCAUGUAGUCCCACUUUUUAUGACACUAAAUUAUCGGACCAUAAUCGCGGAGUUAGUGGGCUAUUUAUUUUCAUUAAUGGCCGUAACACAUAGUCUAUAACCAUUCAUAAUGGUUAGAGUAUGUUGAGCAGAUAGGCCGACUAUAUAUUGAUAAUACUGAUAAGUCGGUAUAAGAUCCGAAUGUGCAUCGGCUGGUAACUCUGAUAUGCCGAUGGUCUUUGAUCGGGAGUUAACCAAAUUAUUAACUGAUGGUUGAUAGUAGCCGACUAUCGGUCGGUCAGUUGAUUGUGAGUCGACGUAAUGUGCUCAUGCGGCUGAUGUAGAGUCAGAGUCAGAGGUCGGUUGACUUGUCCAAACAGUUGUCCCUCACUCCCAAGUCCAAGGUGAUCUGACGUAUAUAUUAUCACGUGAUCUGUCACGUUAAACGAAGAAAGUCGUCACGUAUUGUCUCGACUUGGCUGCUAAUCGAGAGUUCUCCAAUUAUUUUGUCGUUUCGGUAGCUGCAGAAUCAUUAUUGGACUGUCAUUUCGACAGGACAAUUCGGUACCAGAUGUCAUUUCAGAAAAAUAAUUCAGUGCCGGACGAUACGAUUCUGAUUAAUAGAUCUUGACCACGUGUCCGAACAUCAUUGGAUCAGAGCUAUUCAUGCAGAUGACGGUGAGAUGGCACGAUCAGGAGCAGGUGCGUCGAACUGUCCAACCACUGGUCGGUUCGGAUGUUGUCACAUUAUCUGAUGAGACUCUGAUUUGACUAAUUUUAUCUGGACCAUUGAUGGAUCCUAUAUAUAUAUAGGGUCGCUUUCAGCCAAACUUUUACUUUGCAUUUUGUCACCAUUCUCUGCUGCAGAAGCUCUAUCGGAAGGUCAUCUUAGUACCAGAGAGCUCCAGGGUCCCUUCUUCGCUUCUUUUUUUAGCUUUCAGAUCCAGUUUUUCAUCUUUUGAAUUCAUCUCUCCUUUUUGUUUUAGAGUUUUCUUUAGUUUUCCUCCUUUUAUGGCUAGGGUUUUUUCUAGUUGAUCGAGGAAUCCGACCGACGAAUCUCCUUUGGAUCCAAAAGUGAAAGCUUCUUUCCUGUCUGGAUCUAAUGUUGAGCUGCUUUGGAAGUAAUAUCAUAUCUUGGAGUAGUAUCAGCUGUUCGCUCCUGGCUCCGAUGGUCGGAUGAACUUUCCUCCUCCGGAUCAGGUUGUCUUCUACGUCGAAGAUCUUCUGGCCGAUCUUUGAUUUUCGAUUUCAGAGUUCGUCUGAAAUUUGCUUGAUUAUUAUGGUCUUUGUCCUGCUCAACUUGCACCGAACUCGGUCUGGCUAAUAAUUAGUUUUGCUUUGUUGUAUUGGCUAAUACCGACCGAGCCUCGUUCUUCUCUUUUCUGCACCUUCUUUCUUCUCCGUCUUUAUCCUAAGACCAAGAGUUGGUGGUUCUUUAACCUAAGAAAAGAUCUUUCCUUCAUCACUGAUCUUCCAUCAUCCACUCAUGGAUGGAAGAACCAAUUCUUUUUUGCUUUUUUUUUUUCUCUUUUGUGGGGCUUUCCUUCAUGCUGGGGUGAUUCAAGAACUGGUCCCAACGAGAAUAGUUGGGUAGAGGUCGACAAUCGGAAGGAUUUCCACCGACUGAAGGAUAUGGCAGUACCGUCGCAAAGAGAGUUGAUGAUCGAACAUUCUCUCUACGAUGUAGGUCUUAGGUCGAUCACUUCCUUAGGUAUAGCAAAGUUGAUCUAUUUUUAUUUUUUCUUUGUUUGUUUCUGAACUGUGCUGACUUUUUAUUCUGAUUGCAGCUAUGCAGCCAAGGACACGAGUAUCGGCUGUCGAUAUUCGUCAGCAUGCUGUCAAGAAGAAGACAGCAUUUGAAGCUGGAUCCUUUCGACCAUCGAAGAGGAGUCGAGUAGCUACUUCAUCAGCGUCGGCGAGGGAAUCCGACGUACCGUCGACGUCUGAGCUGAUUUUGGUGUUAUCAGCCCUGGCAAUGCUUUCUGAGGUGCCAUCCGUUGAAGUUGGGGUGGCAGAAGGAGUUGCAGCAGUACCAUCGGCAGCUCCCUGUAGCUCCACCAGUUGAAGUUCGGACCGUGACGGAAGUCGCGGUCGAGCAAUCAACGGCUGCACCAAUCUUUUCUCCAGUGGAACCCUCUCGGGCGCAGUCGAGCACCGACUUUUCUAUGUCAGUCUUACCCAAUACCUUCAGCAUGGUGAUGGAAGACCGAGGGAAGGCACUAGCGACUUCGACAGAUGACGGAUCAUCAGCAGGUUACUCGAUCCUUCUCGACGUUAGAGUUUUUGAGAGUGAGUCGGCCCUGGCCAAUCCGGCAUUAGCCAGACGGCUCAUCCAAACUGCUCUUCUUCCGACUGAUCGAAGAACAAGAAGGAUCGGACUGUAGCCGAAAUAUUCUCUUCUUUUUAUUCAACGAUAUUCGAGGUAAGUUCUUCGACAUUUUUUUUCUUCGGAUCUGACUUAUCUUCUGCUUUCAGUGGAUGCACGAUAUGCACGAUCUAGAGGUCGAUUAUCGAGAGGUCGCAGAGUUUCGUCGGACCUGGAUGGACAAGGUGGCGGCCGCCAAUGCUGAGAAGGUGGCUGCUCUUGAUCAAUUCCAGGUGGCGACCGAGCGGGAGGCGAAGUUUCAGGAGGAAGUCUCCCGUCUGAUCGUCAAUCUUCAAUCUUCUGGAGUCGAACUUGAGUCAGCUCGCCAAACCAUCUUGUCUUUUGAGUUGAGGAUCAAGAGCAAGAAACACUCUAUCCACCGACUUCGACGAAAACGGGAUGGUUGUAUUGAAGAACUCGAAGCUGAACGUGAAAGACAUUGGGCCACCCCGGAAAGGUUGGCAUUGGCCGAUGAUGAGUCGGCUUUCGCAAGAACUGAUGCAGAGUUAACGAGGACGGAAGCAGAGUCGGCAAGAGAGGCUUUGAGCCACGCCAUUGAGAACUUUAAGAACUCUGAAGAGUUCAAAAAAAAAAUCUUCGAAGGUGGGUUCGCUUUUUAUUGCAUCGGAUACGAAGACAGUCGAGAUGCGAUCGAAAAAUUGUACCCGAAUUUGGACUUGAGCAGCAUCAUCCUUCCUGUCUCGAAAGAUAGAGCUGCCGAAGAUGAAGAUGCACCGAUUAAAGAUGCUGCACUGACUGCUGAAGACUGUGCACCGAUUGUAUCAGAAGAUGUUUCAGUUGCUGAUGUCGCAUCGGAGCACGAAGAUGGGGACGACGAUCGGUGAUUAGUGUAGUUUUUUGCCUUCUUUUUGUAAAUCAAAAAUUUUUGUAAUCGGACCCUCUUGCACCUCUAGGUUGUCCACAACGUCUAUAAGAAAUUAAGUUGGCCAACCGCUCUCAGCAAUGCAAUUUUUGAUAGCUAACCAAGCAUCUUUAGAAAAGAGUGAAGUGGAAUUCUGAGCUUACUCGUCCAAACAUCAUCUCGGUGCAGAUGAUCAUGCAGUCGCCCAUGGUCACAGAAGCACAAUUGUGCCGGGGUAAUAUUUUGGGUCUCAAAUGGGUUGUGUACAUGCCAUGUGUGAAUAGCACAUUGGCAAUCAAAUCGGUUAUGAAAGGUUUUAAAUGGACGAGACCCAACUUUUAUUGCUCGCUAAGAGCAAUCUCGCAGCCAUUUAUAUCACCAUCUAGGCAACCAUAUCCAAAUUCAUUUAAAUCCAAUGAUGGGUACCACAAAUCAAAUCUAGAUCUAUGCUGUUCUCUGAUUUAUAUAUGCUAUGAGCUGAGUCUACUAUAAUAUCAUUUGUUAAAAUUUAAAUUUUAUUCAAAAAAAUUAAUAAAAAAAUAUUAUUUAGAAUUAUUGAUUCUAUAUAAAUAUCAAAAAUUUAUGUAGUAUAUUGUUAACAUAAGAUUAAAUAUAUACCACAUAAGUCUUUAUAAAAAAUUAAUGAAUAAAAAGAUGAUUAAUGGUUUUGCUCUGUACGAUGGACCCAUGGAACUGAUAGGCCAACAUUUUUUUUUUUUUCUGUUAAGAACUCUGUAAUACGAAUUCUGUUAUUCAAUACAAGCGAUAAGAAAAUGUUCACUUUUAAAGUGCACGUAGCAUAGUGUCAUCACGAAAUUAUUGCACUUCAGCAGUAUUCAUGGUACCUACCUGUGCUUCGGUGGUUCCCAUCAUCCUCUGCACUAAAGCAGCCUUGGCAUAGGAAAAAAAAUGUAAGACAGCUAAAAUUAAGCUGCCAAGUGGCCAAAGGAAUUCUUGGGUCAGUGCAGCUUUUUCGCUAGGCCUCGACCCGCUCAGAUCUGCGAAGAAGACCAUCGUGGUCUUUCCCGCGGGCGCUCACCUGGUUAUGCUCGCACGUACAGACGCGUAUAUCCCAAAAAAUAUAUCCGGGGCGUGAGGAGGCAGUUGUGCAGGUGUGAAAGACCAAGAGACCGCUGCCUCUUGGGCAGGCCAGAUGAGUUUGAACUAACCGGCGAGCAAACAAGCCUAAUUCCAACAUCAAGGUCUUUCUGACACAACCAGCCAUGUACCCGAAGAUUCACUUGAAUGAACAGUACAAUAUAAGAAACCAAGACUUUUUCAAUAAUUAUAAAAUAAAAAUACAAAUAAUGAUGAAUCUAUUUUGUUGAAUUUGACAUAAAAAAUCGCACAAACAACGAAUUCCUGAGAACACAAAGAAGUUGUUCCCAUUCAUGGGAUUUGUACUCCAACUCUGGUCCAAGGAAAAAGUCAGUGAACAAGAUAGGUAAUAAGCAGGGCUACAAGCAUCAGGGCGUAAGCCAUCCCUUGAUCAAUCGCCUUGCUGUCGCUCGUUGGAGAGGGUGCCAUGGCUUGGCCACGGGCAAGCUCCAUAAGCCCUGACAAGAAGAAUGCGACGAAGAGCAGAGCAUACACUUUCACGGCAACCAUCUUCCGAACAACUAGAAAAUACGAUUGGAUGAAUGGAAGGACGAGUUAGCAAGGUACAAGAAGAGAUGUCAGAAGGCCUUGCUAAGAGGGCUAAGAGCAAAGAAGAGCUGUUUGGUGAGAAAGCGGGCCUUCAUAUGCCUAUAUAUGGAGGUUGGUCAGCAGGAAGAGUUCUUUAAGCCACCAAGUUUGACAGAAGAAAGUAAGGUAGUGGGAUUUUGGGAAUAGUAAAUUACGCGGGAAAAAAG
RNAcentral lists this long non-coding RNA (8244 nucleotides) under Elaeis guineensis (African oil palm). RNAcentral describes it as "long non-coding RNA (EGUI_LNC006304)". The record is from RNAcentral. Lineage: Eukaryota; Viridiplantae; Streptophyta; Magnoliopsida; Arecales; Arecaceae.